This 242-nucleotide ribosomal RNA is filed under the name uncultured bacterium. RNAcentral describes it as "partial 16S ribosomal RNA". It matches the Rfam family "Bacterial small subunit ribosomal RNA", at positions 118 to 354 of the family's 1533-position model. The record is from RNAcentral.
UGAGCAACCUGCCCUUGACCCCGGAAUAACAGUUGGAAACAGCUGCUAAUACCGGAUACGACCUCUUCCGACAUCUGGAGAGGUGGAAAGCCCUGGCGGUCAAGGAUGGGCUCGCGGCCUAUCAGCUUGUUGGUGAGGUAACGGCUCACCAAGGCUUCGACGGGUAGCCGGCCCGAGAGGGCGACCGGCCACACUGGGACUGAGAUACGGCCCAGACUCCUACGGGAGGCAGNAGGUAGGGG